GGGACAUGAAAACAGGAGGCAGGUGGGCGACGCGCCAGGGUGGCCAGUCAGCUCAGCCUGUGCCCCGGGAGCCUCCCUGCGGCAUGGCCGCUGGCACAGCUGUGUGCAGGGCCAGGCACCUCGGUGAGCUCCUUCCUGAGGCAGCCACAGUGGCCAGACAGGUAGAGGCAGGGAAGUGGGCCACAUCCCAGUCUUGUGGCUUCCGAGCAGGGCCAGGCCAGUUCAAUGCGCCCCAGGCCCUCAGGCACCUCACCACGUCCUAGGCUCUGUGUGGGCCAGGAGAGCCCAAGCGCUUCACCACCCACAGGAUGGAAGCCAGUCACACCCUGACACAGGCAGAAGGCAGCCAGUGACCUCAGCCCCAGCCCUGUUGCCCAGAGGGCCACGUCUCCACAAGCGCUUUGCCUGCGGUGAGGCCACAUGAAGACCAUGGGGAAACUCUCCACUUGCUGCAAGUCUGGCUCUGGGGAGGAACCUUGCAGCAGUGCGCAAAGGCCCAAGCCUGCUACACAGGACCAGGAGGACGCACGAAGGAGCAGCAGUCUCUGCCUGGGAGCCCACGGGGCUGUGCAGAUCAGAGGAAAGGGGACUAUUUGCCCUGACUGGGCGGGGCUUUCUUCUGUCUGUCCGAGGAGGAAGAGGCCUAGCACCCCUCCCUCACGGGCAGAGGUCCUGACUUGGGGCCCUCCCGGGUGGUACUGUUGCCUCUGGGGCAUUCACCCACGGCCGACACACAAGGCUUCCUGCCAGAGGCGUCAGGAGCAGAGGAAGCCAGAGCCCUCUGCUCAGAACAGCACUGAGGCCUGAGCACAGCCCUCACCUGCGAGGCACAGGGCCCGGCGAUGUGUCCUCCAUGCGGUCAUGGCACCUGAAAGGCCUACUCUCAGCGACAGCUCCCCAACUCCCUUCAGCCUGGAGGCAGGGGCCCUUGGGAUCCAUGAGUCCUCCUGAAGGGGGUGAGAGGCCUCCUGAGGCCUCCCUCAAAUGACAGGAGUGAAGGGUGACCCUACUGUAAUAAAUGGAACGGGCAGCCUCCAUCAGUACCCAUGGACUGCCCGAGUUCUAGGACACAGCAUGGCCAGGCACAGGAGACUCACACAACUGCCAGAGCCCACAGGAGAGGGCUGCGGGCACAAGGCAGGCCCGGGAAAACCCAGAUGUGCAGACACACUGAACAGGCCUGAGCCUGGGGCGUAAGCUUGGCCCCACCCCCUACGCUGCCACCCUGGGCCUUUCCCAGGAGGAGAGCAAACUGUCUACGGUGACUCAGGGCUGCCAGUUUGGGACCCGAGAGUAAAGCCUCUGCAUCCUGGGUUCAGGUAAAGCUCAGCAUGAUGCCAGCUCGCUGCACGCUUCCCCCAAAUCCUGUGCACAUAGGAUGGGUUCCCAGGCAGCCUUUCUAUUACUCCUCAGAGGGUCACAGGCAGACAGAGACCCCGAGGAAUGGGAGGAAGUCCAAGAGAAAGGCCAUGAUCUAUAAACACUGAUUCCAAGAGACAAAAUGCUAGACCAUAAAAUAAUGAAUAGUGUAUUUUGUAAAGGAUGUACUCAGAGAGCUAGAAAGAAUGCUUGCAAACAACACAACUGCUGGUUCAUCCUUAGAGAGGAAGGAACUUCUGACACACACUACAGCAUGGAUGAACCUGGAAGACACUGGGCUAAGUGAGAAAAGCCAGAACAAAAGGACAAAUAUUUGAUUCCACUCACAUAAGAUUCCCAUAGUCAAAUGGAUAGACACAGAAAACGGAGGGCUGGUGUCCCCUGUGAAGGGCUUGGUGGCUGGCAAUGGCUGCAGAGGGGACCAUCUGGGGCCUGGCCCACAGAGGCCAUAGAAGGCGGCAGCCUGAGCCGCACCCCUUGUCACGCAUGUGCUGUGUGCCCCCUACCUGUCUGUCCUGCCACCUCCGUCCAGCAAGCACAUAUCAAAUUGGAGUGGCUACAGUUCAAGAGCUCAACAGCCACACAUUGCCAUGGUCACUGAACCGGACCAGGUGGUGCUGGGUGGGGAGACAGAAGGGCAAUCAAGGGGACUCCACAUGAAGGGGUGAAAGUAGGCCCCAUCCAGGGGAGCACACUACACCGCUCCCACAUGUUCCAUCAGCCUGGAAAACCGGGGCUGCCCCACCUGCCCGCCAAGCCUGGCUGUGCUGGGGACACAGGCAAGGCUGUGCAGGGCAGCUGAGCCCUCAGUGGGGAGCGCUGACGCACACCAUGGCACAAACUGGGAAAAGGCAGGGCGCGCUGGAGCCUGCAGCCCACGGCGGCCCACGGCCUGGCCCUAUGACGGCCUCGGGCCCACGCCAAGGGGCCAGGAGGUGUCUGGUCAGGGAGGAGUGCCAUGACGCCCGGGGCAGUCAUGCUGGGCAGACAGGAGCAGAAGCACGCUUACAAGCCUCACGUGGAAGCGGUUACAAUGCAAAGGGUCAGGAGGCACUAUAGGGGUUAGAUGGGUAGGCCCAGCACCCGGCGGCUGUGGGGAAGAGGGAGCAUGAUGAUCUUCCAGUGGACAUCAAAAUGUGGCUCAAAUAAAAGGCUAGGUGCCUAAGUUGUGCGUUUUUGCUUGGGCCACCAGCUGGGCAGGAGACAGCCCAGGGGGUGCCCUCAGGGGGUGCCCUCAGCCGGCCAGCUUCUGGGACCCACUCAGGAGGAGGAAGGCCUGGCUGCUCCCUCAGCCUCUUGGCUCCCUCUGCUGGCAGCUCUGCUGCACACAUUCCCGGGCCGGAGGGAUGAUUUUGGAAUGGUUCCGUGUUUGUCUGUCAGGCAGACAGAUGUAUGUGCGGUGAGCUGUUCUGUAAGCAGGAAGCCCAGUGACAGCCAAUGCUCCUGCCCCUUCUGCGCCCACCCCAGGUCCUCUCGGGCCUGCCCCGGCCUCUCCUGGGCAGAGCCUACAACUUGCCCUCAAGGUGCCAUCCAGCUGAAUUGUGCUUGUUCCCAGGGUAGGAGGUCCACGACCUCGGCCCACGUGGACCACCCACCCCACCAAGGCCAGGAGCAGUGAGGACCCUUACCAGGGAGCCCCUCCGG
Manis pentadactyla (Chinese pangolin) is the source of this 3024-nucleotide long non-coding RNA. RefSeq lists it as uncharacterized. NCBI's taxonomy places the organism in Eukaryota, Metazoa, Chordata, Mammalia, Pholidota, Manidae. The record is from RefSeq and is a predicted model, not a curated record. The transcript has 4 exons.